UGAUUCUCAAUUUUUUUUGGUUUCUGGUUUGUGUUUUAGAGUUUGUAUCUUAUGCACAUCUUGUGCUGUUUAUAAAUAAUUUAACUUCUUCAAAAAAAAUUAUGCAGAAGUUGUUUCACAGUUUUGUGUACUGUUGUUUUUUUGUUAAUUAUGCAGAAGCUGUUUCAGUGAAGUGUGUUGUGUUUUACAUACUGUUUUGAUUACAUUGUUUUGACAACCAUGUUACAUAUAGUCUCAAUGGAUAUUAAGAUAUGAUGAAGU
RNAcentral lists this long non-coding RNA (261 nucleotides) under Lathyrus oleraceus (garden pea). Its description in RNAcentral is "Pisum sativum (pea) long non-coding RNA (PSAT_LNC033864)". Lineage: Eukaryota; Viridiplantae; Streptophyta; Magnoliopsida; Fabales; Fabaceae. The record is from RNAcentral.